This 222-nucleotide ribosomal RNA is filed under the name uncultured bacterium. RNAcentral's name for it is "partial 16S ribosomal RNA". It matches the Rfam family "Bacterial small subunit ribosomal RNA", at positions 118 to 338 of the family's 1533-position model. The record is from RNAcentral.
UGAGGAACAUGACCUUUGGCGGGGGAUAGCCGGCCCAACGGCCGGGUAAUACCGCGUACGACCACAUGGGGACAUCCCUGAGUGGUGAAAGCAGCAAUGCGCCGAUGGAGUGCCUCGCGGCCUAUCAGCUAGUUGGUGAGGUAACGGCUCACCAAGGCGACGACGGGUAGCUGGUCUGAGAGGAUGGCCAGCCACAUUGGGACUGAGACACGGCCCAGACCU